GCCGGCGUAGCUCAGUUGGUAGAGCAGGGGUUUUGUAAACCUCAGGUCCGCGGUUCGAUUCCGUGUGCCGGCACCA
This 76-nucleotide transfer RNA is filed under the name Woeseia sp. RNAcentral describes it as "tRNA-Thr". It matches the Rfam family "tRNA". Rfam says of the family: Transfer RNA (tRNA) molecules are approximately 80 nucleotides in length. Their secondary structure includes four short double-helical elements and three loops (D, anti-codon, and T loops). Lineage: Bacteria; Pseudomonadati; Pseudomonadota; Gammaproteobacteria; Woeseiales; Woeseiaceae. RNAcentral also lists the same sequence under 1 other name. The record is from RNAcentral.